CGGUAUCUAACCAGAAAGCCACGGCUAACUACGUGCCAGCAGCCGCGGUAAUACGUAGGUGGCAAGCGUUGUCCGGAUUUAUUGGGCGUAAAGGGAACGCAGGCGGUUUUUUAAGUCUGAUGUGAAAGCCUUCGGCUUAACCGAAGUCAUGCAUUGGAAACUGAAAGACUUGAGUGCAGAAGAGGAGAGUGGAACUCCAUGUGUAGCGGUGAAAUGCGUAGAUAUAUGGAAGAACACCAGUGGCGAAAGCGGCUCUCUGGUCUGUAACUGACGCUGAGGUUCGAAAGUGUGGGUAGCAAACAGGAUUAGAUACCCUGGUAGUCCACACCGUAAACGAUGAAUGCUAAGUGUUGGAGGGUUUCCGCCCUUCGGUGCUGCAGCUAACGCAUUAAGCAUUCCGCCUGGGGAGUACGACCGCAAGGUUGAAACUCAAAGGAAUUGACGGGGGCCCGCACAAGCGGUGGAGCAUGUGGUUUAAUUCGAAGCAACGCGAAGAACCUUACCAGGUCUUGACAUCUUCUGACAGCCUAAGAGAUUAGGUGUUCCCUUCGGGGACAGAAUGACAGGUGGUGCAUGGUUGUCGUCAGCUCGUGUCGUGAGAUGUUGGGUUAAGUCCCGCAACGAGCGCAACCCUUAUUAUUAGUUGCCAGCAUUAAGUUGGGCACUCUAGUGAGACUGCCGGUGACAAACCGGAGGAAGGUGGGGAUGACGUCAAAUCAUCAUGCCCCUUAUGACCUGGGCUACACACGUGCUACAAUGGACGGUACAACGAGUCGCGAAACCGCGAGGUUUAGCUAAUCUCUUAAAGCCGUUCUCAGUUCGGAUUGUAGGCUGCAACUCGCCUACAUGAAGUCGGAAUCGCUAGUAAUCGCGGAUCAGCAUGCCGCGGUGAAUACGUUCCCGGGCCUUGUACACACCGCCCGUCACACCAUGAGAGUUUGUAACACCCAAAGCCGGUGAGGUAACCUUUAUGGGCCAGCCGUCUAAGUGACAGAAAUGU
This 1000-nucleotide ribosomal RNA is filed under the name Liquorilactobacillus mali. RNAcentral's name for it is "bacterial SSU rRNA". It matches the Rfam family "Bacterial small subunit ribosomal RNA", at positions 473 to 1474 of the family's 1533-position model. The record is from RNAcentral. Lineage: Bacteria; Bacillati; Bacillota; Bacilli; Lactobacillales; Lactobacillaceae.